Molecule: ribosomal RNA, 821 nt
Filed under: uncultured bacterium
Lineage: Bacteria
Description: bacterial SSU rRNA
Rfam family: Bacterial small subunit ribosomal RNA
Source: RNAcentral
ACUGGGCGUAAGCGUGCGCAGGCGGUUUUGUAAGACAGGCGUGAAAUCCCCGGGCUCAACCUGGGAACUGCGCUUGUGACUGCAAGGCUAGAGUACGGCAGAGGGGGGUGGAAUUCCACGUGUAGCAGUGAAAUGCGUAGAGAUGUGGAGGAACACCAAUGGCGAAGGCAGCCCCCUGGGUCGAUACUGACGCUCAUGCACGAAAGCGUGGGUAGCAAACAGGAUUAGAUACCCUGGUAGUCCACGCCCUAAACGAUGUCAACUAGGUGUUGGGUGGGUAAAACCAUUUAGUACCGGAGCUAACGCGUGAAGUUGACCGCCUGGGGAGUACGGCCGCAAGGUUAAAACUCAAAGGAAUUGACGGGGACCCGCACAAGCGGUGGAUGAUGUGGAUUAAUUCGAUGCAACGCGAAAAACCUUACCUACCCUUGACAUGUCCAGAACCCCUGAGAGAUUGGGGGGUGCCCGAAAGGGAGCCGGAACACAGGUGCUGCAUGGCUGUCGUCAGCUCGUGUCGUGAGAUGUUGGGUUAAGUCCCGCAACGAGCGCAACCCUUGUCGUUAAUUGCCAUCAUUUAGUUGGGCACUUUAACGAGACUGCCGGUGACAAACCGGAGGAAGGUGGGGAUGACGUCAAGUCCUCAUGGCCCUUAUGGGUAGGGCUUCACACGUCAUACAAUGGUCGGUACAGAGGGUUGCCAAGCCGCGAGGUGGAGCCAAUCCCAGAAAGCCGAUCGUAGUCCGGAUUGCAGGCUGCAACUCGCCUGCAUGAAGUCGGAAUCGCUAGUAAUCGCGGAUCAGCAUGUCGCGGUGAAUACGUUC